AGAGAACCUGGGUAAGGUGCAGUUUGGGCAGCAGCAAAUAUCUGGCUUGAAUCAUGGCUGGAUGUUUACUGUAUUAUUUAGAAGGAAAGCUGGAGCUGUGAUGAUUCCUAAAUAGAAUAAGACAGGCUGACACAGACAUGAAGACUGGCAAGUCAGAAUAAGCUCCUGGUGACCUUGAAUCUACUUUCUGCUGCUGAGAAUUUACCUAUUUUGGAUGCUUCAUGAGACGAUUCCUCUUAGCAAAAGGGCACUGUGUACCCUCCAAGGCUGGAAAUGAUAGGUUUUCGGCGAGGAGUGAAAAUAUUGUGCUGACAGCCCUUUGCCUGUGUAGAGCAGGGUUGUUUACUCGCGCUGGAGCACAGCUUUAUUGAAGCAGAGAGUCAUGGUCCCAUCAUCAGGGUUGCCUAGCAACCAGUCUACGCCACUCCACAGAGUUUCAGAAUGGGCUGGACCACAAGUACCCACUUUGGGGGAUUUCCAGUGACAGUCCUACUCUCACUCCAUCACAUCGCUUCUAAAAUCUGAGUCACAUGGUUCAAAUUUCACAGUACAAAGUGUGUUCUUCAGAUCUGGGGUUCUCUCCAAAAUGGAUAAUCAUUAUUGAUUUUGUAAUGCAAUGCCAAGACCAUCAGUAAGAAAGAAAAUAAAAGAGACUGAGAAACCACAGAAAUAAAGAAGCGCUGAUGACAAUGCCUGCUUGCUGAUGGUUACGAUGAUCAUAGCAGUGUGCAUUUUGUAUGCAUGAAGCCUGCGACUAAAUAAACGUGUGGGGAAAUAUUUGUAAGGAAAUAAGCUAUUAAUAAAAUAAGCUAAAAUCACAGUUGCUGGACUAUGACUGAUUUUUCCCCUUUCUCUCAUUUAAAAUUAAAUAUUUGUAUGACUUGUAUAAUAGAAAAAUACAUGUAUUCAAUCUUAAAAAGAUAUUCUUAUUUUACACUUUACGGGACAAAAGAGGUUGUAGGUUGGAAUGGUUCAGUCCCCUUGUGACAACUCAAAAACAGAGACCUUAAGCCUUUCUCAACCAAUGUUGCGGGACAAGCAGGCGUGUGAGGCGACAAUGCCAUUAGGGUAUUUUUUGGAAAAAUUUUAGUGUGAGAGACAAAAGCCAAAUUCAAACUGGCCUGAGCCAAAAUAGGUAGGAAAGGGAGAAGCGGAGACAGGGAGGAAGAAAGAGAGAGAACAGAAAGAAAAAGGGAGAAAUGUCGAAAGGCAAAAUUACAACACAUUUAGUUAAAUGAUUGAAUUGGUUUUUAUUUGUAAUUCAUGAAUUGGGGCAGCAUCUCCUCUAAAACUUUAGGAAAAGUGCUCUGAUGAGCUAAACAGAGAAGCUUGGCUUUAUAGGCAGAAAAGGGUGAAGAAAGCAGACACAGGGAACAAAAAGCAGAUUGGUAAGCUCAGGUUACUUCAGGUUACUUUCCUUAUAAAGGUUAAAGUAGAGGGGACUUCCUUAUCAUGCUGGCUACAACUGGCCUGUUUGGGGAUUUGCAUAUUAUCUCUCUCUGUCUUGAGUUCUGGGAAGGUCUGAUGACUUAGUUUCAGUUUGGUGAUAUGGAACUUAGCAUGAGUGACUCCAUCUUGGUUUGGUCUACUGGGGCCUCCUGCAGGAGCUCAGCCCAAAUCAGUGACCUCCUAUAAAUUUCAUUUAAUAGAAAAGGAAGGAAGGAAGGAAGGAAGGAAGGAAGGAAGGAAGGAAGGAAGGAAGGGAGGGAGGGAGGGAGGGAGGGAGGGAGGAAGGGAGGAAAGAAGGAAGGAAAGAAAGAAAGUUGCUUAUAAGUUGCUUAUAACUAAAAAGACCAGCUGGACCCAGGAGCUCUGAGGUUGCUUUCAGGCCUCUGUCCAUCUCUUAGUUUUCCAUCCUCAGACAGGCUCUGCCCUGCCUUACAGUCUAGCAUUGUUGGCCAAAGGUGACUGACUGGCCCAGCUUGGGCUAUAUGUCCUUCCCUGUGGCCAGAGAGAUGUGUCUCUGUGAUGGCCAGGCUUGGGUCACGUACUCCCUCCCCUACCAGAAUCACAUGAAAAGAGGGAGGAAGAGCCGCUUUCCACCAAAGGAAACUGAAGUGCUAUUGUCAGAGGGGUUGCUGGGCAGACCAAAAAGAUGACAAUAUCUGCUCCAAUCGCUCGGGUUGUUGGUGCUUGGCAGAUUUGCCCCUACGUCACUUUUCAGAUGUGGAUAAGACUGAAGGUGACCACAGGCUUCCGAGAGGAAAGCUGCCAAUGGGGGUGUGAGAGGAGGGGGAAUUCUUACUCACCAAGGUUAACACUGUGCACACUGUUCUCCGAGGAAGUGGGAAUUUCCACAUGGUGAGUUCCCUUCCCUGUACAAUGAAUUACUAUCUUGAUGAGAAACCCGUGGGCAGCUGGUUGAGAAGAGAAAGGUAUUCUCUGAAUGAGAGGGAAUUUACCACCUUCCUUUCAAUGGUGACAGUUUUUUCUGGUGUCACCGCAGGGUGUGGAUUGAUUCAUAUACAAAUAUACAUAUCUACAUAGAUGCCAUUCUGCUAGCCUCUGCAAAAUGCAUGCCUGGAGACCAUUUCUGCUGCCUAGGAGAUGUCAACUUUGUCACCACCACUCUCUCUCCACCACUCCCACACCCUGCAGGGGCCAGGUGUGUGGGUGGGGAGCUCCCCAGCUGGAGGCCAGAUUAGAGGUCUCUGUGUGGUGGGGAUGGGGAGGAUGGGGUGGGAAUGAGGUGGUAGGCCACUGGCAGUGGUCCAAGUUCCAUCCAGGAUCUGUCCUAGGCCUCUCCCCAGGCUGUCGCUUCCACCAUUGAAUUUCUAACCUGGAUCUCUAAGGUUAUGAAUAUCUCAUUCCCGCAUCCUGGGGUGCUCAGACAUGUCUCCCCUGAGUCUCUAGCUGGGCUCGUGGCUGUGAUCAUUGUCCUCAGAGUUCCAUCCUCCCAACAAAGGGACAGAAGAAACACAGGGCCCACUUUUCUGGAUUCUGAGUUGGAGCCAAGAAAUUCUAUCUGCUGCUUCCUUCCUGUUGAAUUAUCCCCCAAGGACCCCUUAGUCCCUCCAGUCUCCUCCAGAGGCCUAUAGCUGCCCCAGCUCCCCAUGAUGGAUACCUGGCUCUUUCCUACCCAGAGGAAAACGCAGGCCCUUCCCCAGCCCUGCACUGAACUCCUGUGAGUGGCUGAGGAGAUGAGGAGGUGUGAAGAGUGAGUGUGUUGGGGAGGGAGGGGUCCCCUGCCACCAGGUACCAAGGACUUCUGCCAGAUCACCAGAACUGACACCUGGUUCCACCGGCCAGCUGUGAAGUGUCGGCCCUGACAUCAACAGCUGACCUCCCACAGGGCCUAAGGAAACGGAAUUGUGGGUAAAUGAAACAUUUUAUUUAUUUUAUUUUGUUUUAUUUUUAUAAAUUUUUGGGGAGACAGUUUUGCUAUGUUGCCAAGGCUGGGCUUGAUCUCCUGACCUUAAGUGAUCCUCCUACCUUGGCCUCCUGUGCUGAGAUUACAGGUGUGAAUCACCAUGCCUGGCCAAGAAGUGAAUUUGUAAAAGACAUGAGGAAAGGCCUGGUGGAAAGCUAACAGUGAAAAAAAUUUUCAAUACUUGCUAUAGAAACUAAAGAAACUCACAAUAUUUUGCUCUCUAUUGGAUCAUUUCCAUCAACAUACAAAUAAAUACCUGUUAUUUUUUCCAUCUUUAAAAAAAUGCCUUCAUUAUAAGUGAUUCAACAAAUUAAUAAACGAGAAGGGAAAAAUCUUCUCUAUAGAAGAAUUCCAAAUAGCAUAUGUAGAUACUCUCCCCUCCAGGAAGCCGAGCUUAAAUCCACUCUCUUUGAGAGUGGACUGGAUUUAGUGACUCACUUCCAAAGAGUAGAGUAUGGAAAGGGAAAAUAGUAACUUUAUAGGAAAGAAACCCAGCAGGUACCUUGUUAACCAAAUGAUGAAGGUUAACAUCACCGCUGAUAAGUCAUGUUGCUAUCAUUCACCCGCUGAUACGAUCUCAUGAGAAGGGCAAUUCCCGACUGUGGUAUUCUUCAAAUCUAUUGAGUUAUAAGAAAACAUGAGAUAAACCCAAACUGAGGAACAUUCUACAGAAUACAUGACCAGUAUUCUUCAAAGCCCUUAAGGUCAUGAUAAACAAGGGAAGACUAAGAAGUGAUCACAGAUUGGGAUGACUGAGACAUGAUGACAAAAUGCAGAGUGAUAUCUUGGAACAGAAAAAAGACAUUAGUGAGAAAAUUCAAAAAACUCUGAUUAGAGUUGAUAGUUGGGCUAUUAGUUUUAUACCAAUGUGAAUUUCUUAGUUUUGACAAAUAUACGUGAGGGAAAGCUAGGCGAAGGGUAUUCUGGAAAUCUCUACCCUGUACUGUCUUUUCAACUUUUCUAUGAAUCUAAAGCUCUUCCAAAGAUAAGUCUAUUAAAAAAAUAACAAAAACUUCCUCUAAAAUUUAAAGACGGACAAUAUCAGGUGUUGAUAAAUCUGUGGAGAAUUUGGAGCUCAUACAUUGCUGGUGAGAAUGUGAAAUUAUGUAGUUAUUUUGGAAAACAGUUCGGUAGUUCUUAUAAAAUGAAAGAUACAUCACUAAAUGACCCAACGAUUCUACUCCUUGAUAUCUACCCAGUAGGAAGGAAAUGAUGUCCGUACAAAGACUUGUAUACAAAUAUUCAUACCAUUUUUCAUCAUAAUGGCCCAAAACUAGAAACAACUCAAAUGUCCAUCAACAAGUAAUGGGUAAUCAAAUUGCGGUAUAUAUAUACAAUGAAAUAUAACUCAAUAUAAAGUAAGAAACUACUCAUAGAUACAGCAACAUGGAUAUUUCUCAAGUAUAUGCUGAGCAAAAAAAGCCAGACACAGGAGCACAUCCUAUAUGAUUCAAUUUAUACGACAUUUUAGAAAAGGCAAAACUAAUCUCAGAGACAGAAAGCAGGUCUGUGGUUGCCUGGAGCUGCGGAUUGGGGAGGGGAUGAUGGGAGAGAUUGACAAAAGGAGCACAAGGAACCUUUUGGGGUGAUGCUGGUAAUAUAUAUCUUGAUUGUUGUGGUGGUUACAUGGAUGCAUACAUUUGUCAAAAAUCAUUAAACUGUAUACUUCAAAUUUAUUAUAUGUAAAUUAUGCCUUAAUAAAGUUGAUUUUCUGAAAAGCUUUCUUUGAUCCGUUUACCCUGCCAGCUCCCCUUUUGCAAGACUCCUGAAAGAGCUGCUGAUACUCACUGUCUCCACUUCUACCCCAUAUGUUCUUUCUGAAGCCCACCCCAGCCAGGCUUCUAUUCCCAUCAUGCCAUGGAAACCAUUCUCAUCAAGGCGGCAGUGACCUCCGUGUUGCUAAAUCCAAUGAGCACUCACCACUUUCCAGUACAGUAUAUUAUUCAACCUGCUUGUUUAUUUUGUUUACUUUUCAUUGUCUAUCUACUCAAAGGCAGGAAACUGCUUUGUUCACGGCUGUAUCCCAAGUCCUAGAGUAGUGCCUGGCCCGUAGUAGCUGCCCAGUAGGUACUUGUUGAAUGAAGUAAUAAAGUUUCACCAGCAAGAGCAAACUUCCUACCUCUGGCCUAUCAGCCCAGGUCUGAGCAGACUGAUCCAGGAGACGACAGAGAAAAGGUGGAUCUGGAGGGAUCCUGCCCUGUCCCAGGAUUGGGAGAAUUGAGAGAGGCUCCGGAUUCUUCUUCAUUGUCUUUGGUUGUGCCUCGUGACCUCAGACAGACCUGGGCCUCUGGUUCGCUAGGCUGCAGCUGUGUGCUCAGAGCCACUGCCCACCGCUUAACGUCAUAGUUCUCAGGGGACCUUCCAGGAAUACUCAGAGGACAUAUGUCUGUGACUGCACUGUCCAGGGUACCAGCCACUGGCCAUGUGGCUACUGAGUACUUAUUUGGCCAGUCCCAAAUGAGAUGUGUUGAAACUGUAAAAUUUCAAAGACUUAGUACAAA
This 5871-nucleotide long non-coding RNA is filed under the name Homo sapiens (human). RNAcentral's name for it is "HSALNT0141028". The record is from RNAcentral. Lineage: Eukaryota; Metazoa; Chordata; Mammalia; Primates; Hominidae.